ACUGGUAUACCUGAAGCUAUAGUGUAUGCUGGACAAGUGUUUUAUGAAUGAGCAGAUUUACUGAGAUUUGCAGCAAUCAAAGAUUUAGAUGCUCUUAUUAAAUUCAUUAGAAAAGAGUAUCAUCAGCAUAAACUCAGAUUGAAGAAGGAGAUUUAGAUCAUUUUGGUCAUAAGAGUAACACUCCUCCAUCUUGUCUGGUAUCAAUAUAUGCUGACAGCAGCCGUCCUGAUACUGUUCAUGUACUGAAGUAUGCUAUACCAUUGAAAGGAUUACAUAAACCAAAAACAAUCAAUAUUAACAGAUCAAUGAAAGAUAUGUAUAAUAGUAUUGCAUAAAGUUCAGUUUUUAUUAUUCUUAUUACCUUCUUCAAUAGAUUCUGUUUACAUCAGUAGAUCACCUCUUUCUCCUCCUACUUUAAACAUAAUCAGCCCUACUAUCUCUAAUGCUAGUACCAGUAAAACCAGGAGAGGGACUGAAGAAGGCAGUAGAUAUAGAUUGGAUAUUGCUCAUAGAGUAAUGACAGAAUGUACUUCAUCAAUAAAGGACUGUGGAAUUGAUAUCAACUUCUUAGUUGACAAAUUACUGGAACACAGGAUCGUAAAUUCAAGAGAGAAAAGGAAAAUUACUGCUAGAGAAACUGACGAUGACAAAAUGGAUGAGUUGCUUCACAUAAUUUUGAGUUCUAUUUGUAUGAAUGGAAAAGUGUUUGGUAUAUUUAUAGAUAUACUGAGAGAAGAAGACACUUUGAGAACUAUUGCACUAGCUGACACACUAAUG
Molecule: long non-coding RNA, 777 nt
Organism: Amphimedon queenslandica
Lineage: Eukaryota; Metazoa; Porifera; Demospongiae; Haplosclerida; Niphatidae
Exons: 5
Source: RefSeq, a predicted model, not a curated record